UACAGAGGUCCCAAGCGUUGUUCGGAUUCACUGGGCGUAAAGGGUGCGUAGGUGGCGGGGUAAGUCUGGUGUGAAAGCUCCGAGCUCAACUCGGAAAAGCAUUGGAAACUAUCCCGCUUGAGGGUCGGAGGGGAGACUGGAAUUCUCGGUGUAGCAGUGAAAUGCGUAGAUAUCGGAAGGAACAUCAGUGGCGAAAGCGGCUUCCUGGACCAGUACCGACGUUCAGGCACGAAAGCGUGGGGAGCAAACAGG
This 252-nucleotide ribosomal RNA is filed under the name uncultured bacterium. RNAcentral describes it as "partial 16S ribosomal RNA". It matches the Rfam family "Bacterial small subunit ribosomal RNA", at positions 524 to 776 of the family's 1533-position model. The record is from RNAcentral.